RNAcentral lists this ribosomal RNA (232 nucleotides) under uncultured bacterium. RNAcentral describes it as "partial 16S ribosomal RNA". It matches the Rfam family "Bacterial small subunit ribosomal RNA", at positions 923 to 1163 of the family's 1533-position model. The record is from RNAcentral.
GCACAAGCAGUGGAGUAUGUGGUUUAAUUCGACGCAACGCGAAGAACCUUACCAAGUCUUGACAUCCUGCGACGAUGCUAGAAAUAGUAUUUUCCUUCGGGACGCAGAGACAGGUGGUGCAUGGUUGUCGUCAGCUCGUGUCGUGAGAUGUUGGGUUAAGUCCCGCAACGAGCGCAACCCUUAUGGUCAGUUACUACGCAAGAGGACUCUGGCCAGACUGCCGUUGACAAAA